This 200-nucleotide ribosomal RNA is filed under the name uncultured bacterium. Its description in RNAcentral is "partial 16S ribosomal RNA". It matches the Rfam family "Bacterial small subunit ribosomal RNA", at positions 30 to 230 of the family's 1533-position model. The record is from RNAcentral.
AUUGAACGCUGGCGGCAUGCCUUACACAUGCAAGUCGAACGGCAGCACGGGAGCCAUCCUGGUGGCGAGUGGCGAACGGGUGAGUAAUACAUCGGAACGUGCCCAAUCGUGGGGGAUAACGCAGCGAAAGCUGUGCUAAUACCGCAUACGAUCUACGGAUGAAAGCAGGGGAUCGCAAGACCUUGCGCGAAUGGAGCGGC